GCUGGGCUUGGUAGUGCAAGCCUGUAACCUGAGUGGGAGCAUUAUGAUGGUGGAACAAUUGGGCCUUCCUUGAAGGUUGGGUUUGGGUUGCUAUCUACACGCAUGUCUAUUCCAAGUGGUGAGUUGGGUGGUGGAGUCUUUGCGAAGGCAGAGGCUUGUUAGCCCUUAGAUCGGAGGGUACUGCGUGAGGUUGGCUUCACAGAGCAGCGAAAACCUCCUCCUCUCUGCAGUGGAAGGAUAACAUGCUGGGGCAUCCUAAGCCCACUAAUGCCUGAUGGGCUGUCCAUAUUGAACCACCAUCUUU
RNAcentral lists this signal recognition particle RNA (304 nucleotides) under Ipomoea nil (Japanese morning glory). Its description in RNAcentral is "Plant signal recognition particle RNA". It matches the Rfam family "Plant signal recognition particle RNA". Lineage: Eukaryota; Viridiplantae; Streptophyta; Magnoliopsida; Solanales; Convolvulaceae. The record is from Rfam by way of RNAcentral.